This 468-nucleotide ribosomal RNA is filed under the name uncultured bacterium. Its description in RNAcentral is "partial 16S ribosomal RNA". It matches the Rfam family "Bacterial small subunit ribosomal RNA", at positions 28 to 507 of the family's 1533-position model. The record is from RNAcentral.
GACGAACGCUGGCGGCGUGCUUAACACAUGCAAGUCGAACGGAAGGGCCCGGCUUUUGUUUGUUUCUCGAUUGGGGAAGGGGUGAGUAACACGUGAGGAACCUCCCCUUGACUGUCUGGGAACUCCAGGAAACAGGGGCGAAAACACGGUAUGAGCUCUUGCUCCGUGUGGGGGAUAGGAGAGUUUCGGCGUUGGGGGAUGUACUAGCGGGUUAUGAGCUUGUUGGUGGGGUAGUGGAUUACCAAGGUUUUGAAGGGUAGCCGGCCUGAGAGGGUGACCGGCCACAUUGGGACUGAGAUACGCCCCAGAAUCCUAUGGGAGGCAGUAGUGGGGAAUAUUGCACAAUGGGCGGAAGUCUGAUGCAGCAACGCCGCGUGCGGGAUGACGGCCUUCGGGUUGUAAACAGAUUUCGACUUUGCCGAAGAGUGCGUGACGGUAAUGGGUAAAGAAGCACCGGCUAACUACGUG